RNAcentral lists this ribosomal RNA (389 nucleotides) under Dinophyceae sp. Its description in RNAcentral is "partial small subunit ribosomal RNA". It matches the Rfam family "Eukaryotic small subunit ribosomal RNA", at positions 582 to 975 of the family's 1831-position model. The record is from RNAcentral. Lineage: Eukaryota; Dinophyceae.
AUUCCAGCUCCAAUAGCGUAUAUUAAAGUUGUUGCGGUUAAAAAGCUCGUAGUUGGAUUUCUGCUGAGGACGACUGGUCCGCCCCCUGGGUGAGCAUCUGGUUCGGCCUGGGCAUCUUCUUGGGGAACGUAUCUGCACUUGAUUGUGUGGUGCGGUAUCCAGGACUUUUACUUUGAGGAAAUUAGAGUGUUUCAAGCAGGCCCGCGCCUUGAAUACAUUAGCAUGGAAUAAUAAGAUAGGACCUCGGUUCUAUUUUGUUGGUUUCUAGAGCUGAGGUAAUGAUUAAUAGGGAUAGUUGGGGGCGUUUAUAUUCCGUUGUCAGAGGUGAAAUUCUUGGAUUUACGGAAGAUAAACUAUUGCGAAAGCAUUCGCCAAGGAUGUUUUCAUUA